UGGGGAAUUUUCCGCAAUGGGGGCAACCCUGAUGGGGCAACGCCGCGUGGAGGAUGAAGGUCUUCGGGUUGUAAACUCCUGUCAUCUGGGAGGAAGACCUGGUCGUUAAUAGCGAACAGGGUUGAUAGUACCAGACGAGGAAGGGCCGGCUAACUUAGGGCAAGCAGCCGCGGUAAUACGAAGGUGCCAAGCGUUGAUCGGAAUUACUGUGCGUAUAGGGAGAGUAGGCUGCGUGGUAAGUCUGAUGGG
This 249-nucleotide ribosomal RNA is filed under the name uncultured organism. Its description in RNAcentral is "partial 16S ribosomal RNA". It matches the Rfam family "Bacterial small subunit ribosomal RNA", at positions 355 to 596 of the family's 1533-position model. The record is from RNAcentral.